Non-coding RNA from Pelobates cultripes (western spadefoot toad), 261 nucleotides. Lineage: Eukaryota; Metazoa; Chordata; Amphibia; Anura; Pelobatidae. The record is from the annotation of a GenBank genome assembly.
CAGUGAGGGAAUUAAGAAUGGCACGUUAUCCUUGUAACGGGGAUCCAGCAGGGUGGCCACCCAGUAAUCAGCACAAGUUAGAAUGUGGGAGACUCGGCAGUCGUUGCGCAGGUACUUUGGGGACUCUAGCUAACCUCGGGCUGAUCGCACGUCCCUGUGAUGGCGACAACACAUUCAGAUGUCUGGCCUAUCAACUUUCGAUGUUACUUUCUGCGCCUACCAUGGUGACCAUGGUAACGGGGAAUCAGGGUUGGAUUCCAG